AAGCUAUCAAAGUUUUCGUCUUAAAAACAUUGUGUCUAAAACUGCAUCGAUCACCAUCUUGUGAAUUCUAAUUUUGCGAUGCAUAAGCCUUUGAAAAUUUGCCGCUGCUCUUGGUAUAUGGUAAUUUUGCCCAAACAUGCUCGCAACCGGCUCCUGAGGUCUUUUCUUAAUUUCGGAUGAAACAAUGCGCAUAGGAAGAUAUUGCUGGAUGUUCGGGAUGGGAGGUGCAUGGAAGAGGGCAAACCGUGUCGUUGAAACGAACGAGAAUCGAAUUUAUGGUCUAACAAGCGCUGUCAAAAUGUGAGAAUUGAGUGCCUGCGCCGAGGUCCUGGAGCUGCCAGGACGUGUCCUCCAUUCCCUGGGCGCAGAUGCUUGCUAGACAUUUGCAUCUCGCAUAUAAAUCGCAUUAGCAGCACGCAAUUACUAGACCUCGACACAUGGGCACACGAAAUGCGGUUUGGGCCUGUAUUUCCGUGCAGUAAAACCUGAAACACUGAUAGUUUCUUCCCCCGCCUGAAUUUUGUACUUUGCCGAUAAGAAAUUAUCUGAGACAAUGUCAUUAAGGGGUAUGGCUUU
Molecule: non-coding RNA, 576 nt
Organism: Drosophila melanogaster (fruit fly)
Lineage: Eukaryota; Metazoa; Arthropoda; Insecta; Diptera; Drosophilidae
Source: Ensembl